CCCUUAGAUGUCCUGGGCGGCCCGCGCGCUACAAUGUCAGCUACUGAAGGUUAAUGCUUUGAAAGAGAGCGCGCUCUCCUUUUAAUUGCUCGCAUGCUGGGAUAAAUGAAUGCAAUUUUGUUUUGAACGAGGAAUUCCUAGUAGCCAUGUUUCACUAGAAGAUGGCGAAUGUGUCCCUGCCCUUUGUACACACCGCCCGUCGCUCCUACCGAUGAGCGUUUUGGCGAAGACGGUUUGAGUAGCUGCGUAAUUUCGUGUUGUUGACUCCGGCAGUUUGAGCCUUCACGUUUAGAGGAAGGAGAAGUCGUAACA
This 312-nucleotide ribosomal RNA is filed under the name uncultured eukaryote. RNAcentral describes it as "partial 18S ribosomal RNA". It matches the Rfam family "Eukaryotic small subunit ribosomal RNA", at positions 1470 to 1796 of the family's 1831-position model. The record is from RNAcentral.